ACACAUCCUGAGAGCAAGCAUCAUAUCUCAUCCCUGAAACCCUGCAAUUUCAAGCCCUAUUCCUCCUUCUCCUCCCAUUUCCUCUUUUGGGAUAUCAUUCUAGAGCUUGACAGAGCUUUCGUCAGGCUGCCGGAAACUACUCAACACACCCAUUAUUCUUCCCCCACCUCUCUCUCUUCAACGAACUCUCUUAAAAUUCAUUCUCCUCUACUUUAAAACCCUUGUUUUUCAUAGGAACUCAC
RNAcentral lists this long non-coding RNA (242 nucleotides) under Prunus persica (peach). RNAcentral describes it as "long non-coding RNA (PPER_LNC004973)". Lineage: Eukaryota; Viridiplantae; Streptophyta; Magnoliopsida; Rosales; Rosaceae. The record is from RNAcentral.